Molecule: ribosomal RNA, 496 nt
Filed under: uncultured bacterium
Lineage: Bacteria
Description: partial 16S ribosomal RNA
Rfam family: Bacterial small subunit ribosomal RNA
Source: RNAcentral
AUGAACGCUGGCGGCGUGCCUAAUACAUGCAAGUCGAGCGAACGGACGAGAAGCUUGCUUCUCUGAUGUUAGCGGCGGACGGGUGAGUAACACGUGGAUAACCUACCUAUAAGACUGGGAUAACUUCGGGAAACCGGAGCUAAUACCGGAUAAUAUUUUGAACCGCAUGGUUCAAAAGUGAAAGACGGUCUUGCUGUCACUUAUAGAUGGAUCCGCGCUGCAUUAGCUAGUUGGUAAGGUAACGGCUUACCAAGGCAACGAUGCAUAGCCGACCUGAGAGGGUGAUCGGCCACACUGGAACUGAGACACGGUCCAGACUCCUACGGGAGGCAGCAGUAGGGAAUCUUCCGCAAUGGGCGAAAGCCUGACGGAGCAACGCCGCGUGAGUGAUGAAGGUCUUCGGAUCGUAAAACUCUGUCAUUAGGGAAGAACGUAUGUGUAAGUAACUGUGCACAUCUUGACGGUACCUAAUCAGAAAGCCACGGCUAACUACGUG